This 86-nucleotide transfer RNA is filed under the name Verrucomicrobiota bacterium. RNAcentral's name for it is "Verrucomicrobia bacterium (soil metagenome) tRNA-Tyr". It matches the Rfam family "tRNA". Rfam says of the family: Transfer RNA (tRNA) molecules are approximately 80 nucleotides in length. Their secondary structure includes four short double-helical elements and three loops (D, anti-codon, and T loops). RNAcentral also lists the same sequence under 1 other name. Lineage: Bacteria; Pseudomonadati; Verrucomicrobiota. The record is from RNAcentral.
GGUAGGUUACCCAAGUGGCCAACGGGGGCAGACUGUAAAUCUGCUGGCUUACGCCUUCGACAGUUCGAAUCUGUCACCUACCACCA